GGCAGCGCGGACUUCGGUCUGGCGGCGAGUGGCGAACGGGUGAGUAAUACAUCGGAACGUGUCCUGGAGUGGGGGAUAGCCCGGCGAAAGCCGGAUUAAUACCGCAUACGCUCUGUGGAGGAAAGCGGGGGAUCUUCGGACCUCGCGCUCAAGGGGCGGCCGAUGGCAGAUUAGCUAGUUGGUGGGGUAAAGGCCUACCAAGGCGACGAUCUGUAGCUGGUCUGAGAGGACGACCAGCCACACUGGGACUGAGACACGGCCCAGACUCCUACGGGAGGCAGCAGUGGGGAAUUUUGGACAAUGGGCGAAAGCCUGAUCCAGCAAUGCCGCGUGUGUGAAGAAGGCCUUCGGGUUGUAAAGCACUUUUGUCCGGAAAGAAAACCUCGUGGCUAAUAUCCGUGAGGGAUGACGGUACCGGAAGAAUAAGCACCGGCUAACUACGUGCCANCAGCCGCGGUAAUACGUAGGGUGCGAGCGUUAAUCGGAAUUACUGGGCGUAAAGCGUGCGCAGGCGGU
Molecule: ribosomal RNA, 516 nt
Filed under: Burkholderia sp. Br3
Lineage: Bacteria; Pseudomonadati; Pseudomonadota; Betaproteobacteria; Burkholderiales; Burkholderiaceae
Description: bacterial SSU rRNA
Rfam family: Bacterial small subunit ribosomal RNA
Source: RNAcentral